GACGAACGCUGGCGGCGUGCUUAACACAUGCAAGUCGAACGGAAAGGCCCUGCUUUUGUGGGGUGCUCGAGUGGCGAACGGGUGAGUAACACGUGAGUAACCUGCCCUUGACUUUGGGAUAACUUCAGGAAACUGGGGCUAAUACCGGAUAGGAGCUCCUGCUGCAUGGUGGGGGUUGGAAAGUUUCGGCGGUUGGGGAUGGACUCGCGGCUUAUCAGCUUGUUGGUGGGGUAGUGGCUUACCAAGGCUUUGACGGGUAGCCGGCCUGAGAGGGUGACCGGCCACAUUGGAACUGGGAUACGGCCCAGACUCCUACGGGAGGCAGCGGUGGGGAAUAUUGCAAAAUGGGCGGAAGCCUGAUGCAGAAACGCCGCGUGCGGGAUAACGGCCUUCGGGUUGUAAACCGCUUUCGCCUGUAACGAAGCGUGGGUGACGGUAAUGGGUAAGGAAGCACCGGCAAACUACGU
Molecule: ribosomal RNA, 467 nt
Filed under: uncultured bacterium
Lineage: Bacteria
Description: partial 16S ribosomal RNA
Rfam family: Bacterial small subunit ribosomal RNA
Source: RNAcentral